This 72-nucleotide transfer RNA is filed under the name Camelus bactrianus (Bactrian camel). It matches the Rfam family "tRNA". From Rfam's summary of the family: Transfer RNA (tRNA) molecules are approximately 80 nucleotides in length. Their secondary structure includes four short double-helical elements and three loops (D, anti-codon, and T loops). The record is from Rfam by way of RNAcentral. RNAcentral also lists the same sequence under 2 other names. Lineage: Eukaryota; Metazoa; Chordata; Mammalia; Artiodactyla; Camelidae.
GAGGGUAUAGCUCAGUGGUAGAGCACUGGCUUAGCAUGCACAAGGUCCUGGGUUCAAUCCCCAGUACUUCCA